This 253-nucleotide ribosomal RNA is filed under the name uncultured prokaryote. RNAcentral describes it as "partial 16S ribosomal RNA". It matches the Rfam family "Bacterial small subunit ribosomal RNA", at positions 524 to 776 of the family's 1533-position model. The record is from RNAcentral.
AACGUAGGUGGCGAGCGUUAUCCGGAAUUACUGGGCGUAAAGCGUGCGCAGGCGGUUCGUUGUGUCCGAUGUGAAAGCCCCGAGCUUAACUUGGGAAUGGCAUUGGAAACUGGCGAGCUGGAGUGUGGCAGAGGGGGGUGGAAUUCCACGUGUAGCAGUGAAAUGCGUAGAGAUGUGGAGGAACACCGAUGGCGAAGGCAGCCCCCUGGGCCAACACUGACGCUCAGGCACGAAAGCGUGGGGAGCAAACAGG